AGUGAACGCUGGCGGCAGGCCUAAUACAUGCAAGUCGAACGGCAGCACAGCAGAGCUUGCUCUGUGGGUGGCGAGUGGCGGACGGGUGAGGAAUACAUGGGAAUCUGCCCAGUCGUGGGGGAUAACGUAGGGAAACUUACGCUAAUACCGCAUGCGCCUUCGGGGAAAGCCGGGGACCUUUCGGGCCUGGCGCGAUUGGAUGAGCCCAUGUCGGAUUAGCUAGUUGGCGGGGUAAUGGCCCACCAAGGCGACGAUCCGUAGCUGGUCUGAGAGGAUGAUCAGCCACACUGGAACUGAGACACGGUCCAGACUCCUACGGGAGGCAGCAGUAGGGAAU
This 337-nucleotide ribosomal RNA is filed under the name uncultured bacterium. Its description in RNAcentral is "bacterial SSU rRNA". It matches the Rfam family "Bacterial small subunit ribosomal RNA", at positions 29 to 362 of the family's 1533-position model. The record is from RNAcentral.